GACGAACGCUGGCGGCGUGCUUAACACAUGCAAGUCGAACGGAAAGGCCCUGCUUUUGUGGGGUGCUCGAGUGGCGAACGGGUGAGUAACACGUGAGUAACCUGCCCUUGACUUUGGGAUAACUUCAGGAAACUGGGGCUAAUACCGGAUAGGAGCUCCUGCUGCAUGGUGGGGGUUGGAAAGUUUCGGCGGUUGGGGAUGGACUCGCGGCUUAUCAGCUUGUUGGUGGGGUAGUGGCUUACCAAGGCUUUGACGGGUAGCCGGCCUGAGAGGGUGACCGGCCAGAGUGGGAGUGAGAUACGGCCAAGGCGGCGACGGGAGGCGGAGGUGCGGAAUGUGGGACAAGGGGGGCAAGGCUGUUGAAGCAGCGCCGGGUGGGGGAUGACGGCGUGCGGGCUGUAAACCGCUUUCGCCUGUGACGAAGCGUGCGUGACGGUAAUGGGUAAAGAAGCACCGGCUAACUACGUG
Molecule: ribosomal RNA, 468 nt
Filed under: uncultured bacterium
Lineage: Bacteria
Description: partial 16S ribosomal RNA
Rfam family: Bacterial small subunit ribosomal RNA
Source: RNAcentral